CCUACGGGCGGCUGCAGUGGGGAAUAUUGGACAAUGGGGGCAACCCUGAUCCAGCCAUGCCGCGUGUGUGAAGAAGGCACUCGGGUUGUAAAGCACUUUCAGUGAGGAAGAACGCCUGGUGGUUAAUACCCAUCAGGAAAGACAUCACUCACAGAAGAAGCACCGGCUAACUCCGUGCCAGCAGCCGCGGUAAUACGGAGGGUGCGAGCGUUAAUCGGAAUUACUGGGCGUAAAGCGCGCGUAGGUGGCUUGAUAAGCCGGUUGUGAAAGCCCCGGGCUCAACCUGGGAACGGCAUCCGGAACUGUCAAGCUAGAGUGCAGGAGAGGAAGGUAGAAUUCCCGGUGUAGCGGUGAAAUGCGUAGAGAUCGGGAGGAAUACCAGUGGCGAAGGCGGCCUUCUGGACUGACACUGACACUGAGGUGCGAAAGCGUGGGUAGCAAACAGGAUUAGAUACCCUAGUAGUC
This 465-nucleotide ribosomal RNA is filed under the name Vreelandella stevensii. Its description in RNAcentral is "partial 16S ribosomal RNA". It matches the Rfam family "Bacterial small subunit ribosomal RNA", at positions 338 to 795 of the family's 1533-position model. The record is from RNAcentral. Lineage: Bacteria; Pseudomonadati; Pseudomonadota; Gammaproteobacteria; Oceanospirillales; Halomonadaceae.